This is a long non-coding RNA of Zophobas morio, 303 nucleotides long. RefSeq lists it as uncharacterized. The transcript has 2 exons. Lineage: Eukaryota; Metazoa; Arthropoda; Insecta; Coleoptera; Tenebrionidae. The record is from RefSeq and is a predicted model, not a curated record.
UAAAUAGUCUGAUAGCCGUAAUGCAAUGGCGGAAAAUUGAUUAAUCACUUGCGUCGGAGGUAAAUAAAGGAUGUUUUGUUUACAUUGAGUUAGUAGGGGUGAGUGGGGUACCCCACCCAAAUUAAAAGUGGUAUAAUGACAGGGGCCGAGUCGAGGUAAUCGAAAAAACUGUUCAAUCACUGAAAUACCGGAGCUAGAGCCGUGUGUACGUAAAACACAUGGUAGAAGUAUACAGUAUGAUGUAAACACGAUCACAUCACCAGUGCCGAAACAGUCGAAACUCCAACCAGACAGACGACAGAC